RNAcentral lists this transfer RNA (28 nucleotides) under Glechoma hederacea (ground ivy). RNAcentral describes it as "partial tRNA-Leu". The record is from RNAcentral. Lineage: Eukaryota; Viridiplantae; Streptophyta; Magnoliopsida; Lamiales; Lamiaceae. RNAcentral also lists the same sequence under 15 other names.
CGUGAGGGUUCAAGUCCCUCUAUCCCCA